Molecule: non-coding RNA, 101 nt
Filed under: Clunio marinus
Lineage: Eukaryota; Metazoa; Arthropoda; Insecta; Diptera; Chironomidae
Description: Eukaryotic small subunit ribosomal RNA
Rfam family: Eukaryotic small subunit ribosomal RNA
Source: Rfam by way of RNAcentral
AUGUUCGGGGCGGCCCGCGUGUUACAAUGAAGCCAUAAGCGUGCUCCUUGCCCGAAAGGAUUGGGUAAUCACUUAACCGGCUUCAUAGUUGGGAUUGUGGA